Molecule: unclassified non-coding RNA, 433 nt
Filed under: soil metagenome
Description: partial contains 5.8S ribosomal RNA, internal transcribed spacer 2, and large subunit ribosomal RNA
Rfam family: 5.8S ribosomal RNA (bases 1-120)
Source: RNAcentral
GAUGAAGAACGCAGCGAAAUGCGAUACGUAAUGUGAAUUGCAGAAUUCAGUGAAUCAUCGAAUCUUUGAACGCAUAUUGCGCUCUCUGGUAUUCCGGAGAGCAUGCUUGUUUGAGUAUCAGUAAACACCUCAACUUCCAUAUCUUUUUUGAAAUGGGAGUUGGACUUGAGUGAUCCCAACGCUUUUCCUCACCGAAAAGUGGCGGGUUACUUGAAAUGCAGGUGCAGCUGGACUUUUCUCUGAGCUAUAAGCAUAUCUAUUUAGUCUGCCUAAAAAACAGAUUAUUACCUUUGCUGCAGCUAACAUAAAGGAGAUUAGUUCUUGUGCUGACUGAUGCAAGAUUCACAAAGACAGGCUUCGGCCGACUUUGUAAACUCGAUCUCAAAUCAAGUAAGACUACCCGCUGAACUUAAGCAUAUCAAUAAGCGGAGGA